RNAcentral lists this long non-coding RNA (236 nucleotides) under Carica papaya (papaya). RNAcentral's name for it is "long non-coding RNA (CPAP_LNC009838)". Lineage: Eukaryota; Viridiplantae; Streptophyta; Magnoliopsida; Brassicales; Caricaceae. The record is from RNAcentral.
GAAUACAUAUGUUCGACAGUAAAAAAUUUCUCAUCAUGGAGAUAUGACUAAAUGUACAGUUCAUGAUCGGUAAGGAAUGAUUAUGAACUCUAUCUCAUAAACUAUUUAUUACUUCGUAACUAUGACUGUAACUAUGGCUAUGGUUAUGAUAAUAACUAUGACUUAUGGAAGUGUAACUAUGACUAGGUCCAUAUUAAUAGUGGAAAUGAUCAUUUCUCUUCGUGAUUGGAUCUGAG